Molecule: ribosomal RNA, 303 nt
Filed under: uncultured bacterium
Lineage: Bacteria
Description: partial 16S ribosomal RNA
Rfam family: Bacterial small subunit ribosomal RNA
Source: RNAcentral
AGCAGUCGCCACGGUAAAACGUAGGGUGCGAGCGUUAAUCGGAAUUACUGGGCGUAAAGCGUGCGCAGGCGGUUCGUUAAGACAGAUGUGAAAUCCCCGGGCUUAACCUGGGAACUGCAUUUGUGACUGGCGAGCUAGAGUAUGGCAGAGGGGGGUAGAAUUCCACGUGUAGCAGUGAAAUGCGUAGAGAUGUGGAGGAAUACCGAUGGCGAAGGCAGCCCCCUGGGCCAAUACUGACGCUCAUGCACGAAAGCGUGGGGAGCAAACAGGAUUAGAUACCCGCGUAGUCCCUGUCUCUUAUAC